GAUGAACGCUAGCUACAGGCUUAACACAUGCAAGUCGAGGGGCAGCAUUUUAGUUUGCUUGCAAACUAAAGAUGGCGACCGGCGCACGGGUGAGUAACACGUAUCCAACCUGCCGAUAACUCGGGGAUAGCCUUUCGAAAGAAAGAUUAAUAUCCGAUGGUAUAUUAAAAUCGCAUGGUUUUACUAUUAAAGAAUUUCGGUUAUCGAUGGGGAUGCGUUCCAUUAGUUUGUUGGCGGGGUAACGGCCCACCAAGACUACGAUGGAUAGGGGUUCUGAGAGGAAGGUCCCCCACAUUGGAACUGAGACACGGUCCAAACUCCUACGGGAGGCAGCAGUGAGGAAUAUUGGUCAAUGGACGAGAGUCUGAACCAGCCAAGUAGCGUGAAGGAUGACUGCCCUAUGGGUUGUAAACUUCUUUUAUAUGGGAAUAAAGUAUUCCACGUGUGGAAUUUUGUAUGUACCAUAUGAAUAAGGAUCGGCUAACUCCGUGCCAGCAGCCGCGGUAAUACGGAGGAUCCGAGCGUUAUCCGGAUUUAUUGGGUUUAAAGGGAGCGUAGGUGGAUUGUUAAGUCAGUUGUGAAAGUUUGCGGCUCAACCGUAAAAUUGCAGUUGAAACUGGCAGUCUUGAGUACAGUAGAGGUGGGCGGAAUUCGUGGUGUAGCGGUGAAAUGCUUAGAUAUCACGAAGAACUCCGAUUGCGAAGGCAGCUCACUAGACUGCAACUGACACUGAUGCUCGAAAGUGUGGGUAUCAAACAGGAUUAGAUACCCUGGUAGUCCACACAGUAAACGAUGAAUACUCGCUGUUUGCGAUAUACAGUAAGCGGCCAAGCGAAAGCAUUAAGUAUUCCACCUGGGGAGUACGCCGGCAACGGUGAAACUCAAAGGAAUUGACGGGGGCCCGCACAAGCGGAGGAACAUGUGGUUUAAUUCGAUGAUACGCGAGGAACCUUACCCGGGCUUAAAUUGCAUUUGAAUAAUCUGGAAACAGGUUAGCCGCAAGGCAAAUGUGAAGGUGCUGCAUGGUUGUCGUCAGCUCGUGCCGUGAGGUGUCGGCUUAAGUGCCAUAACGAGCGCAACCCUUAUCUUUAGUUACUAACAGGUCAUGCUGAGGACUCUAGAGAGACUGCCGUCGUAAGAUGUGAGGAAGGUGGGGAUGACGUCAAAUCAGCACGGCCCUUACGUCCGGGGCUACACACGUGUUACAAUGGGGGGUACAGAAGGCAGCUACCUGGCGACAGGAUGCUAAUCCCAAAAACCUCUCUCAGUUCGGAUCGAAGUCUGCAACCCGACUUCGUGAAGCUGGAUUCGCUAGUAAUCGCGCAUCAGCCAUGGCGCGGUGAAUACGUUCCCGGGCCU
Molecule: ribosomal RNA, 1359 nt
Filed under: uncultured bacterium
Lineage: Bacteria
Description: bacterial SSU rRNA
Rfam family: Bacterial small subunit ribosomal RNA
Source: RNAcentral